Long non-coding RNA from Lolium perenne, 899 nucleotides. RefSeq lists it as uncharacterized. The record is from RefSeq and is a predicted model, not a curated record. NCBI's taxonomy places the organism in Eukaryota, Viridiplantae, Streptophyta, Magnoliopsida, Poales, Poaceae.
GCUUGUGGAUUUACUGGUUUACUGAACUAAAGUUUUUUUUUUGCAUACACUUAUGUACUGAUCUCCAUUGCAAGAGUUGCCUGAUGUGUUCACCUCUAAAAUUGUUCUGCCUACCAAUGGAAGAUUGUGUGUGCCGGAAACUUGCUCCCUGCAAUUUGUGGGGCGAAAUAAAAUUUUGGCUGUACAUGCAUCCAAAGGUCUAUCCUAAGAUUUCUGUUGUACACUUGUAAUCGCCGCCACGCCUGUUGCCAGCGCCCAGCAAGGUACCUUCCCAAAUUCCGAUCUGGUGGCAAUAUUCAGGUGAGAUUGGAAGGGGAAGAAGAGGCCCGCAACGGUGCUUGCAUCUCCACUGCCGGCCAGCAGUGGGGAUAGAAGUGCAGAUGGCAGACGAGCACAUGCAGGUCAGCACCGGCCGGUUGAGGCAAGGCACACAACGGCAGAUUUUCUCCAACAAGAGAAGCACGACGGAUGUACCGUGGGAGGGGACUCUGUGAGGGUGUUGCUUCUGUAGAGGCUGCACUUAACUCUCCUUCAGAUGUACAAGCAAACAUGAGGUGAGAAAUAAAAUGAGCCGCUCUCUGUGGAUUGGAUGGACUUCGCCCUAAACUACAUUAGCAUUGUCGUUGGUUGCCUCUGCACCAGCUUUUCCAAAAUACAAUGGUGUCGUUUUGUCCAAUGGCGGAAUAUCGUUCUAGGCCUGGAGCAUUUGCUCCCGCUGCUCAACCAGUUCAACGAGCGAUUGGGUAUCCAACAGUCAAUAGGUAUAUAAUUUUUCUAGAAGGUUUCUAGAGGCUUGGUCCUAUUUCAAUGUCCAGAAGGUUCUCCUCAAUCGGUUUUGGCAGUUCCACAAAUGGAUGCUACGGGUCUAAACAGGCCUCGUGCCCUCGAAAUGUUCAGUU